CGAACGCUGGCGGCAGGCUAACCAUGCAAGUCGAGCGCGCCUUCGGGUGAGCGGCGGACGGGUUAGUAACGCGUGGGAACGUGCCCUUCUCUACGGAAUAGCCUCUGGAAACGGAGAGUAAUACCGUAUACGCCCUUUGGGGGAAAGAUUUAUCGGAGAAGGAUCGGCCCGCGUUAGAUUAGGUAGUUGGUGAGGUAACGGCCUACCAAGCCUACGAUCUAUAGCUGGUUUUAGAGGAUGAUCAGCAACACUGGGACUGAGACACGGCCCAGACUCCUACGGGAGGCAGCAGUGGGGAAUCUUAGACAAUGGGGGCAACCCUGAUCUAGCCAUGCCGCGUGAGUGAUGAAGGCCUUAGGGUCGUAAAGCUCUUUCGCCUGUGAUGAUAAUGACAGUAGCAGGUAAAGAAACCCCGGCUAACUCCGUGCCAGCAGCCGCGGUAAUACGGAGGGGGUUAGCGUUGUUCGGAAUUACUGGGCGUAAAGCGCGCGUAGGCGGAUUAGAAAGUUGGGGGUGAAAUCCCGGGGCUCAACCCCGGAACUGACUCCAAAACUGCUAGUCUAGAGUUCGAGAGAGGUGAGUGGAAUUCCGAGUGUAGAGGUGAAAUUCGUAGAUAUUCGGAGGAACACCAGUGGCGAAGGCGGCUCACUGGCUCGAUACUGACGCUGAGGUGCGAAAGUGUGGGGAGCCAACAGGAUUAGAUACCCUGGUUAGUCACAGCGUAAACGAUG
This 731-nucleotide ribosomal RNA is filed under the name uncultured Ruegeria sp. RNAcentral's name for it is "bacterial SSU rRNA". It matches the Rfam family "Bacterial small subunit ribosomal RNA", at positions 30 to 811 of the family's 1533-position model. Lineage: Bacteria; Pseudomonadati; Pseudomonadota; Alphaproteobacteria; Rhodobacterales; Roseobacteraceae. The record is from RNAcentral.